AGCAGCGUUGACUUACAGCAGGUACAAAGGAUUCCCUAGACGACAGCGAGGUGAUGUCGUUGAAUCUUCGUAGAGUUUUUGUUUCCACACAGUACUGUCUCUCUCCUCGCGCCCUCCCCCUACCCAGCUGGUGUGCUGUCUCAGUGCUCAGGGACGCUUCCGCCAUGCUUGUGGUACGGUAGUGCCGUUAGGGACUUGUUUGGAAUCCGGGCAGCAGGUAAAGUUAUACGAGCAGUAGGACAUAGCUGAAGGCGAGAACAGAGAAAGAAGUCUGAACCUGUGACCUUAUGGAUUAGAAGCAGAUUUUGCUGCCUGCUAUUUCAGUUUGACAUGAGGGGACUGGAAUGAAAAAUGGAAGGGAGAACUGCGAGCAUAGUCACCAUGUAGAGUCCUGCCUUGUAGAAAUCAUGACAAAAGAAAAAAAAGCUGAACAAAUAUAUGCUGGAACUCUUCUGAAGAAGGAACUCAUAAUCGUAGUGUGCUGAUGUGACUGAAUUUUGCAAACCUCUCUCCCACAAAUAUUCAUAGCAGAAAUCAAAACCACAGUUGAAGCUGACAUUGAAAAUAUGCUGAUGUACAGCUUUGCUUAUGGAAGAGCCUUCUAGAAGAAGAAUUUGGUAAUGGAGUUUUGCAGGAAAUUUGUGCGUCUUAGUUCAUGAGAUUCCUGCGGUGGGUUAAUUGCAUAAAGAACUGUUGUCAGUCAUCUUUUUAUCAGUUGGCAAUAUUUUCCUGCAGCAGUCUUCAUUGGGACCACUUACUAAUCUGAAAAGAGCUGAACUGUCUGCAGAACUUUUUUUCCUGGCGGAAAAACAUCCAUUUCAGAGUAUUUGCAUCAAACAACAGGACUCAUCGCCCUUGUUUAGGAAUUAUCAGGACUGGAGUGUUUCACCUUUCAUUAAUACUGGAACGUUGGAA
Long non-coding RNA from Protopterus annectens (West African lungfish), 915 nucleotides. RefSeq lists it as uncharacterized. The transcript has 7 exons. NCBI's taxonomy places the organism in Eukaryota, Metazoa, Chordata, Ceratodontiformes, Protopteridae. The record is from RefSeq and is a predicted model, not a curated record.